UACGGGGGGAGCAAGCGUUGUUCGGAUUUACUGGGCGUAAAGCGCACGUAGGCGGAUUGUUAAGUCAGGGGUGAAAUCCUGGAGCUCGACUCCAGAACUGCCUUUGAUACUGGCGAUCUUGAGUCCGGGAGAGGUGAGUGGAACUCCGAGUGUAGAGGUGAAAUUCGUAGAUAUUCGGAAGAACACCAGUGGCGAAGGCGGCUCACUGGCCCGGUACUGACGCUGAUGUGCGAAAGCGUGGGGAGCAAACAGG
Molecule: ribosomal RNA, 253 nt
Filed under: uncultured bacterium
Lineage: Bacteria
Description: partial 16S ribosomal RNA
Rfam family: Bacterial small subunit ribosomal RNA
Source: RNAcentral